Molecule: transfer RNA, 72 nt
Filed under: Sphyraena japonica (Japanese barracuda)
Lineage: Eukaryota; Metazoa; Chordata; Actinopteri; Sphyraenidae
Description: tRNA-Pro
Rfam family: tRNA
About the family: Transfer RNA (tRNA) molecules are approximately 80 nucleotides in length. Their secondary structure includes four short double-helical elements and three loops (D, anti-codon, and T loops).
Source: RNAcentral
CAGAGGGUAGUUUAAAUGCAAGAAUCUUAGCUUUGGGAGCUAAGGAUAGAAGUUUAAGUCUUCUCUCUCUGA